RNAcentral lists this ribosomal RNA (252 nucleotides) under uncultured bacterium. RNAcentral describes it as "partial 16S ribosomal RNA". It matches the Rfam family "Bacterial small subunit ribosomal RNA", at positions 524 to 776 of the family's 1533-position model. The record is from RNAcentral.
UACGUAGGGGGCAAGCGUUGUCCGGAAUUAUUGGGCGUAAAGCGCGCGCAGGCGGCUAUUUAAGUCUGGUGUUUAAACCUUGGGCUCAACCUGAGGUCGCACUGGAAACUGGGUGGCUUGAGUACAGAAGAGGAAAGUGGAAUUCCACGUGUAGCGGUGAAAUGCGUAGAUAUGUGGAGGAACACCAGUGGCGAAGGCGACUUUCUGGGCUGUAACUGACGCUGAGGCGCGAAAGCGUGGGGAUCAAACAGG